This 471-nucleotide ribosomal RNA is filed under the name uncultured Sphingobacteriales bacterium. RNAcentral's name for it is "bacterial SSU rRNA". It matches the Rfam family "Bacterial small subunit ribosomal RNA", at positions 910 to 1382 of the family's 1533-position model. Lineage: Bacteria; Pseudomonadati; Bacteroidota; Sphingobacteriia; Sphingobacteriales. The record is from RNAcentral.
UUGACGGGGCCCGCACAAGCGGAGGAGCAUGUGGUUUAAUUCGAUGAUACGCGAGGAACCUUACCUGGGCUCGAACGUAAGAUGACUGUAGGUGAAAGCUUACAUCUCUUCGGAGCAUUUUACGAGGUGCUGCAUGGUUGUCGUCAGCUCGUGCCGUGAGGUGUCGGGUUAAGUCCCAUAACGAGCGCAACCCCUACCUUUAGUUGCCAUCAGGUUAAGCUGGGGACUCUAAAGGAACUGCCUACGCAAGUAGUGAGGAAGGCGGGGAUGACGUCAAAUCAGCACGGCCCUUACGUCCAGGGCUACACACGUGCUACAAUGGCCGAUACAGAGGGCAGCUACCUGGUGACAGGAUGCAAAUCUCCAAAGUCGGUCUCAGUUCGGAUCGGAGUCUGCAACCCGACUCCGUGAAGUUGGAUUCGCUAGUAAUCGCGCAUCAGCCAUGGCGCGGUGAAUACGUUCCCGGGCCUU